Long non-coding RNA from Oncorhynchus keta (chum salmon), 1189 nucleotides. RefSeq lists it as uncharacterized. The transcript is spliced from 6 exons. NCBI's taxonomy places the organism in Eukaryota, Metazoa, Chordata, Actinopteri, Salmoniformes, Salmonidae. The record is from RefSeq and is a predicted model, not a curated record.
ACACACACACACACACACACACACACACACACACACACACACACGUUAAUAUACAUCACCUCACCUCGAGCUCACUCUAAACUAGUCACUAAUUAUUCCCUCAGGGUCUUGUGUGGUAGAGAGAGUAGUGGUGUGGUAGAGAGAGUAGUGGUGUGGUAGGUACAGUAGUGUUGGAGUAGGUACAGUAGUGUUGGAGUAGGUACAGUAGUGUUGGAGUAGGUACAGUAGUGUUGGAGUAGGUACAGUAGUGUUGGAGUAGGUACAGUAGUGUUGGAGUAGGUACUCACUGUGUAGUAGGGACAGUAGUGUUGGAGUAGGUACUCACUGUGUAGUAGGUACAGUAGUGUUGGAGUAGGUACAGUAGUGUUGGAGUAGGUACAGUAGUGUUGUAGUAGCUACUCACUGUGUAGUAGGUACAGUAGUGUUGGAGUAGGUACAGUAGUGUUGGAGUAGGUACUCACUGUGUAGUAGGUACAGUAGUGUUGGAGUAGGUACAGUAGUGUUGGAGUAGGUACAGUAGUGUUGUAGUAGCUACUCACUGUGUAGUAGGUACAGUAGUGUUGGAGUAGGUACAGUAGUGUUGGAGUAGGUACAGUAGUGUUGUAGUAGGUACAGUAGUGUUGGAGUAGGUACAGUAGUGUUGUAGUAGGUACAGUAGUGUUGUAGUAGGUACAGUAGUGUUGGAGUAGGUACAGUAGUGUUGUAGUAGGUACAGUAGUGUUGGAGUAGGUACUCACUGUGUAGUAGGUACAGUAGUGUUGUAGUAGGUACUCACUGUGUAGUAGGGACAGUAGUGUUGUAGUAGGUACAGUAGUGUUGUAGUAGGUACAGUAGUGUUGUAGUAGGUACUCACUGUGUAGUAGGGACAGUAGUGUUGUAGUAGGUACUCACUGUGUAGUAGGUACAGUAGUGUUGGAGUAGGUACAGUAGUGUUGUAGUAGGUACAGUAGUGUUGGAGUAGGUACUCACUGUGUAGUAGGUAAAGUAGUGUUGGAGUAGGUACAGUAGUGUUGUAGUAGGUACUCACUGUGUAGUAGGUACAGUAGUGUUGGAGUAGGUACAGUAGUGUUGCAGUAGGUACUCACUGUGUAGUAGGGACAGUAGUGUUGUAGUAGGUACUCACUGUGUAGUAGGUACAGUAGUGUUGUAGUAGGUACUCACUGUGUAGUAGGGACAGUAGUGUUGUAGU